RNAcentral lists this long non-coding RNA (1190 nucleotides) under Capra hircus (goat). RNAcentral describes it as "lncRNA (ENSCHIG00010005873.1)". Lineage: Eukaryota; Metazoa; Chordata; Mammalia; Artiodactyla; Bovidae. The record is from RNAcentral.
UACUCAUCGGAAGGACUGAUGCUGAAGCUCCAAUACUUUGGCCACCUGAUAGGAAAACACCCUGAUGCCGCGAAAGAUUGAAGACAGAAGAGAUGGUUGGAUGGCAUCAUGAUUCAAUGCACAUGAACUUGGGCAAACUCUGGGAGAUGGCAAGGGACAGGGAAGCCUGGCAUGCUGCCAAAAUAUGGGAUAGAAGUAAUUUACGGUGUUGUAAGGUUGGUUUAUUUUCCUUGGUGCUUGAGACCUCAUAGCAAAGAACUGGAAAGAUGUGAAAGACGUACCCCCUAUAGUUACAACACACAGAAUUCUAGUAAGCAGGCACCUAGCAGUAUUCCUAACUACAGCUCCAUUGUUCACUCGCUAAGUGCUAACCCCAGCUCAAUUGUUCAGUGACUUAAGUACCGUCCUUCACCAACUCCCAAAGUAUACUCAAAAUUCUUGUUCGUCGAGUCAGUGGUGCCAUCCCCGUUUCUCUUCGGCCCGCCUCGUUCUCUCCUUGCAAAUGUUGCCCAACGUCAGCUUUUUUCCUCAGAUGGCGAAAACAUGGGACCCUCACCACCAGCCUUUCCAAAGACGAUUCACAAUUGACUUUCAGAAAUCGUUCACACCAAACACAGCUUCAGCACGUUGUAAUUUGAACGUGACAAGGUACAGUUGGCUUCUCUUUUUAUACUUUUUGUCUCCUCCCCCUGGAACCUGAUUGGUUCAGUCCUAUGCAAAAUAGGACUUGUACCACACUCAAGGCCAAUCAGGGAAGGGGCAUGUUUGGGGCAUGUUUUCCUGCCAGAGGUUCUCACUCUGGUCCUCCACAGCGUCUGAGGCUUCUAUUGUUCACGUAUUUCUGCCUUCUUGGACUCCUUUUUCUACUCUUAUCUAAUGGUGUCUUUCCAUGUUUCAGUUACUUUUGUGGGAGUCAAUUAUUGCAGGCAAGAUUUAAACUAAGUAAUGGCAUUUGGCUCUCGUUUUCUUGGAAGUGAAGAGCAGAACACAGCUGUGGAAAAAAUUGUUCCUAAUCAGGCCAGGUGCACCUAUAAAGGCAGAAUGUGUCACUUGCUGACCUUAUCCAUAAAAUUUGUCUCUGGCUGAGCUUUCAGUUCAGUUCAGUUCAAUCACGCAGUCGUGUCCGACUCUUUGCGACCGCAUAAAUCGCAGCACACCAGGCCUCCCUGUCCAUCACCAACUCCCGGAGU